Gymnodraco acuticeps is the source of this 661-nucleotide long non-coding RNA. RefSeq lists it as uncharacterized. NCBI's taxonomy places the organism in Eukaryota, Metazoa, Chordata, Actinopteri, Perciformes, Bathydraconidae. The transcript has 2 exons. The record is from RefSeq and is a predicted model, not a curated record.
GGAGAACCAACCCCAUUCCAGGAAGAGGUCCAGUCUGCCCGGGUCAGAACCACUUCUAUAGCACAGAUUACCUGACUGCGGCACACAUUGUUGCAAAACUCUCUGCAAAAAGAACAAAUACAUCUUGCAGCCGGUUCAAUAUGAAUAGAGCCAAUGUGUGGGAUGGAGCAAUCCGCGGCUUCAAAGGUGCCUCAUUCGAUCCCUCUCAUGAGAUGUCAGUUAAGUUCACUGAUGAUGAGGGACACACUGAGGAUGGAGGGGACACUGGUGGUCCCAAGCGUGAGUUCCUGACCCUCCUUAUGGAAUGCCUGAGAAUGCGAAGAAAACAUCACGUCAGCAACUGUUUGUGCCCCAUGGCGGCGUGACUUUCCAGCCGCUCACUGUCUCAAAAUCUGAUUCUAAAUGUAUAAUGUUCUCUAUAAAGAUAUAACUAAUACACAAUUAUGAAUGUAUAAUAUAAGCUGUUUUGUGUAUUUAAUCAUGCAUUGGUCUACAAUUGAAUGAUGGCUUCUACAUAUUUCACAUAAACAGACAAUGAAAAAAUGUGUCCUUCAUGCUGAUAACUAGUGUAUGUAUCUGCCAAUUAGUAUUCUAAACAGAGUAGUGUGUUGAAUCCUUAUGUCUUGCAUUUGAAACAGAUACAAUAAAAAAAGUGAACUUA